RNAcentral lists this long non-coding RNA (525 nucleotides) under Mus musculus (house mouse). RNAcentral's name for it is "long non-coding RNA chr18:35182491-35183016". Lineage: Eukaryota; Metazoa; Chordata; Mammalia; Rodentia; Muridae. The record is from RNAcentral.
UGGCAGAGUGUAAUGCUGUCCGCCAGGCUCUACAGGACCUGCUCUCAGAAUACAUGGGCAACGUAAGUGCCAAAACCUCUCUUGGAACUAAGAUGGCUGAGGAAUUUGUUUUUAUGACUGAUGGUACCCCCUCAUAUAUCCAUCCAUCCAUCCAUCCAUCCAUUCAUUCAUUCAUUCAUUCAUUCAUUGUGUGGGUGCUUUAUCUGCAUUGGGUACUGGGGAGAAGUUUUGGUUGGUAAAGUCUUGCCAUACAAGCAUGAUGACUUGGAUUCAGGUUUUUAGCUUCGUUUUUAAGAAGCUAAGCAAUAUGGUGCUUAUAAUCCCAGAGCUAUAAUCCCAGAGCCGGUGGAGGCAGGUGGACAGGUACCUGGGUCUUGGCCAGUGAGUCUAGUCAAGUCUUUGAGUUCCUGGCUCAGUAAGAGACUUGUCUAAAAAGAUAAUAUGGAGAACAACUGAGGAAGACACUAGAGGCUUCCUCACACACACGUGCACAUGUGUACACAUGUACAUAAGAAAAAAUAUCAG